This 620-nucleotide ribosomal RNA is filed under the name Porpidia melinodes. RNAcentral's name for it is "LSU rRNA". It matches the Rfam family "Eukaryotic large subunit ribosomal RNA", at positions 32 to 667 of the family's 3401-position model. The record is from RNAcentral. Lineage: Eukaryota; Fungi; Ascomycota; Lecanoromycetes; Lecideales; Lecideaceae.
ACUUAAGCAUAUCAAUAAGCGGAGGAAAAGAAACCAACAGGGAUUGCCUCAGUAACGGCGAGUGAAGCGGCAACAGCUCAAAUUUGAAAUCUGACCCCUUCGGGGCCCGAGUUGUAAUUUGUAGAGGAUGCUUCGGGUGCGGCGCCGGUCUAAGUUCCUUGGAACAGGACGUCAUAGAGGGUGAGAAUCCCGUAUGCGACCGGCGGUCAACCCCAUGUGAAGCCCCUUCGACGAGUCGAGUUGUUUGGGAAUGCAGCUCAAAAUGGGUGGUAAAUUUCAUCUAAAGCUAAAUACCGGCCAGAGACCGAUAGCGCACAAGUAGAGUGAUCGAAAGAUGAAAAGCACUUUGGAAAGAGAGUCAAACAGUACGUGAAAUUGUUGAAAGGGAAGCGCUUGCAACCAGACCUGCCCCCGGGCGAUCAGCCGUUAUUUUUAGCGGUGCACUCGUCCGCGAUCAGGCCAGCAUCGGUUCGGGCGGCCGGAUAAAGGCCUCGGGAAUGUAGCUCCCCCCGGGGAGUCUUAUAGCCCGAGGUGCAAUGCGGCCAGCCCGGACCGAGGACCGCGUUUCGGCUAGGAUGCUGGCGUAAUGGUUGUAAGCGACCCGUCUUGAAACACGGACC